UAGAAAGACAGGAAUUGAACCUGCAAUAAAGAGAUCAAAACUCUUUGUAAUCCCAUU
This 57-nucleotide transfer RNA is filed under the name Hylodes nasus (Santa Catarina tree toad). RNAcentral's name for it is "partial tRNA-Gln". The record is from RNAcentral. Lineage: Eukaryota; Metazoa; Chordata; Amphibia; Anura; Hylodidae.